Carassius gibelio (silver crucian carp) is the source of this 1536-nucleotide long non-coding RNA. RefSeq lists it as uncharacterized. The transcript has 4 exons. The record is from RefSeq and is a predicted model, not a curated record. Lineage: Eukaryota; Metazoa; Chordata; Actinopteri; Cypriniformes; Cyprinidae.
AGCCGGCACAUGACCGACCUUCAACGUUGAAAUAUGGUUGAAAUAAGGUCAGUUGUGGUUUCAACGUUGAAACAACGUUGAUUCAACGUUUAAAGCUGAAUGGUUGAAAAACAUCCAGCACAUGACCAACUUUCAAUGUUGAAAUAUGGUUGAAAUAAGGUCAGUUGUGGUUUCAACGUUGAAACAACGUUGAUUCAACGUUUAAAGCUGAAUGGUUGAAAAACAUCCAGCACAUGACCAACUUUCAAUGUUGAAAUAUGGUUGAAAUAAGGUCAGUUGUGGUUUCAACGUUGAAACAACGUUGAUUCAACGUUUAAAGAUGAACUGUUGAAAAACUUCCAGCACAUGACCAACUUUCAACAUUGAAAUAUUGCUGAAAUAAGGUCAGUUGUUUUAAUGAAACAACGUUAAAAAUGUUUAAUGCUAAAUGGUAGAAAAAGGUUAACAAGCUUUUAAAUUAUUUAUAUUAAAUUAUUUAAAUUAAUUAAUUAUUUUAAUAGCAUUUUAAAAUAUUUUAGUCAUGAUACCUAUUCUAAAAUCUAAAGGUAUAUGUUAAAUAUUAUCAUCAUUAACAACAAUAAAACUAUAUACAUUUCGCUGCUUUAUCACACUGAAACAACUCCCAUUGGUAGUUUUAUUUUAUUACUUCUAUCAUGAUUGGUUAAUCUGGCUGUCAUUCAGGAAACUGGACAAUGAAUCAGUUCGCGCCUUUCUUCAUUUAAAAAUAUGACCGUUAUUGUCGUCUUUCUGUGAGUGAGGCGGCUAACUGUGAGCUGCUGCUCGUUAUAACUGACUGCUCUAUCGGUCCCGAAUUAUUUCAAAUUUGCCUGUACAUUUUUUAUUUAUUUUGAGCGAAUUUGAGUCGUGACAUGUCAAUGGAGAACAAAAACUGUGAACACAAGAAGGGUCAGGUGUUCUGCGAGGUCCUGAAAACAUCCUGGCAAAAUGAGAGUCAUCGAGGAUCCAGCUUGUUCUUGAAACAUUGAAGUUUGCCCUCUGCAAGUGAACGACGCCUUGUGGUGCCAUCCCAAAGAGGACGGUACAGAAAGUGCACAAGUGGGAGAGAGUGGAGGGGACGGCGUCAGAAAGGACCUAGCGCUGGGACACUUUCAAGGAUCACCCGAAGCACAACCACACUGUAUACACUAAGGCUGCUGGUUCUAACAUUUUAGAGUGCCCUGCGGUAGAAAUCUCAUUCUGCAUUCCCCACGGUAAAGAAGACACAGUCCGGGGGGGUUCCCAUUAGAAAUCAACUGGUUGAAGGUUCCCUGCUCGUACUGUGCAACACAUUUUCACGGCACAGAUGUGCACAACUUGAAAUGAGACACAUUACUAAAACAUGUUUUUGACAGAAACUGUAGUUUUCCACCAAAAUAAAAGAUCCACUGGUUUCAGUCAUAAAGGUACAAGGGUUUGUCUUGUAAGUGCUGAAAAAAAUAUGCAUUUUUGUGCCGAAUUAUUUUACAAAAACCUUUAAAUAUUAUUGUAUUUGGAUUAUUCUACUACAUGUUUUUAGCAUUACCUCCAUGCAUACUC